AAGUUACAUCUAUCAGGUGCUAAAAUGACUGGAACUCCUCUGGGUUCUAUAACCCAACACUGAUUCUGUGACUCACACAGAACCAUUAGAACGCUGCCCUUUAUGUUCACGUUUUUGAAACUGAUUUCCAGCUAUAAUUCCAUCAUUAACAACAGAAAGAGCAAUUGAUGGCAACCUUUUGUUGUUCAUAUUGUAGCUUCUUUCCCCUUCUAGAAAGUGAUUCCAUUUUCUGCUUCUGUGUAUCUAAGUCUUGUUUAAAAAAUUGCUUAAUAAGUAGAACUUUGUAACUUGUAAUUUUUCUUCAGACCUACAGCCUGCAGACUCUGUGAGAACAAACACCUUGGUGCUAUUUCCAUGUCAGGUAGCUGAAACGCGUAGAAGAGGAUUACUUACCAGAGCUUCUGAGUAAGAUGACGUUAAUACGAGGUUGUGGAGAGUGAGAGGUGGGACAUAAACAGAGGACUUUCAUACUGAGGACCUUCAAAGUCGUACUUUUCUAGAGUUUCUCCAUCUACCACUUUCUGUUCUUCAAAAGAAUGUCCUUAUCUUGGACUUGGUAACAUAAAGUAAUACUGGGAAAAGUUAAACUGUUGAGGAAGACUUUACUCAAUACUGCAACAAAUGGAGAGAGAACAUCUGAAAUCAU
This is a long non-coding RNA of Mesocricetus auratus (golden hamster), 646 nucleotides long. RefSeq lists it as uncharacterized. Lineage: Eukaryota; Metazoa; Chordata; Mammalia; Rodentia; Cricetidae. The record is from RefSeq and is a predicted model, not a curated record. The transcript is spliced from 4 exons.